RNAcentral lists this ribosomal RNA (425 nucleotides) under uncultured bacterium. RNAcentral's name for it is "bacterial SSU rRNA". It matches the Rfam family "Bacterial small subunit ribosomal RNA", at positions 354 to 796 of the family's 1533-position model. The record is from RNAcentral.
GUGGGGAAUUUUGCGCAAUGGGGGAAACCCUGACGCAGCGACGCCGCGUGGAGGACGAAGGCCUUCGGGUUGUAAACUCCUUUUCCGGGGGAAGAUGAUGACGGUACCCCGGGAAUAAGCCACGGCUAACUCUGUGCCAGCAGCCGCGGUAAGACAGAGGUGGCAAGCGUUGUUCGGAAUUACUGGGCUUAAAGGGCGCGUAGGCGGUGAGGCAAGUCCGGUGUGGAAUCCCGGGGCUCAACCCUGGAAUUGCAUCGGAAACUGCUUCACUUGAGUCAGUGAGGGGAGGGCGGAAUUCCUGGUGUAGCAGUGAAAUGCGUAGAUAUCAGGAGGAAGGCCGGUGGCGAAGGCGGCCCUCUGGCGCUUGACUGACGCUGAGGCGCGAAAGCGUGGGGAGCAAACAGGAUUAGAAACCCGAGUAGUCC